This 253-nucleotide ribosomal RNA is filed under the name uncultured bacterium. Its description in RNAcentral is "partial 16S ribosomal RNA". It matches the Rfam family "Bacterial small subunit ribosomal RNA", at positions 524 to 776 of the family's 1533-position model. The record is from RNAcentral.
UACGUAGGGUGCGAGCGUUGUCCGGAAUUAUUGGGCGUAAAGAGCUUGUAGGCGGUUUGUCGCGUCUGCCGUGAAAACUCGAGGCUCAACCUCGAGACGCCGGUGGAAACCAUCAGGCUAGAGUCCGGAAGAGGAGAGUGGAAUUCCUGGUGUAGCGGUGAAAUGCGCAGAUAUCAGGAAGAACACCCGUGGCGAAGGCGGCUCUCUGGGACGGUACUGACGCUGAGACGCGAAAGCGUGGGGAGCGAACAGG